Molecule: long non-coding RNA, 2084 nt
Organism: Seriola aureovittata
Lineage: Eukaryota; Metazoa; Chordata; Actinopteri; Carangiformes; Carangidae
Exons: 4
Source: RefSeq, a predicted model, not a curated record
UUACCUCACAUGCAACCUUAGGAAAACCAGCUCUGUGGAGGAAAAACAAUUGAAUGUAGCAAUCUCCUUUCUGUGAUCAGGGAGGAUACAAUUCCCACUGUGGAGAUGGCAGCUGAAAAUGUUACUCUUUAUAUGGCAUCGCCUCAUUACUGUGGGUGAUAGAAAAUUUAGUUUGGUGCCAAUAAAUGUUUCAGUACAAGUAAGCACAGAUGAAAAUAAAGACAGCACACAUUUCUUAUUGCUGUUUUCAGCCAAUCAAGAUGGAGAUGUUUUGCAGUGGACGCAAUUUGCAUAUCAUAAAAGGAGGAUUUUUUUUUCUGAUUUCAUACUGAGCAUUUUAAGCAGAAGCUCAUUGCAGAUUUAGGGGAGACUCAGAGUAAAAUAUUUGUUUCAGUGCGUUGCAGCGUGUGGAGGGCAGCGAGAUAUUUCAUUUCAUGUGAGACAAGCUGAUUUGGGGCGGCAAGGUCUCCAUUAAUAAAGCAAUUAGCAAGGGGGGAGAGGGAGGUGAGUGUAAAUUCAGUUGCCCUGAGGUAGUGUAAUGUCAUGCUGGAGGGUGUCAUAAAAGAGUAAUUACUUCAAUCCUGCUUUGAAAUUUUGGGUUAUAAUUACUUUACUUUAGCAUGUGAGGGAGUUGAUUUCUGGACUGUGAAUGGAAGGGAGAGAGUGCUGUGUACAGUCUGGGCUGCAGACGAGAAAGGAAAGAAGGAAUCAGGAGGAUAAUUGCAUGCAGGCAGAGUCCCAGGGGAGGAGUGCAACCCCGUCAUCAAACACUCAUUCUGGCUGGGCCUCAUCCCAUUACAGUCCCCCAGGAGCCAAACUGCACCUGCCCCACAGACUGACAACUACUCAAUCCCCCUUCACUCUCCCCUGCGAUUACACAACCGGAAAAACAACACCAAAAUAUCACAAUGACUAAGCCUUCUCAAAAACAUAAGAAGGUGGAGUUUUCAGGCAAGUGAAUGAUGGGAGAAUUUCCACCUAUGAACCAAAUGUUGACAUCGGAUUUAGUCCAAUUAACGUGCACCCUAACAGGCACGUCACCGGUGCAACAGCCAUGACCACUCUGGCUGGUUAGGCAUGAGAAAACAUGUUCCACGUGGCUGGUGACACAAUUGUGUUUUCUGUCAAAUUAACAUGUGCACCGAGGAGCAGGCAGCAGUGAACGUUAAUGGUUUCCGCUCUCAGCCGGGCAGAUAAUCGGAGGAGAGGCUGAGAUUUAUUGUAAUCGCUGCCACUGCUGCUACUGGAAGUGUUUCAGACAUGGAUCUGCUUCCUGUGAUGGAAGCGUCAGUCAACACAGCACAAGACUACUGUGAACUCAGCAAUGCUACUGCACUGUCCGUCCCCCACCCACACCUGAUUUCAUACCUGUCUAUCACUUCCUCUCAGGUGAGAUGGAAGUUACAGAGUCUUCAUUUGCAAAAGCCUGCAGAGGUUUUUCCUGCACACAUUAUAAUCACCCUGUACAGUCAGAAGCAGCAGACCAGACCUCUGAUGAUUGACUCGCACAUUAGAAAAUGUUUUAUCUGUUUCCCACCUGCAGAGCUGGAGAGGCACGGUUAGAAUCAGGGUGCUUGAUGUAUGCAGUGUCUUUCACACCAUCGAGCCCUUCCUGCUCCAGGGAGGAGCGCCAUGUUUUGCUGAAUUAUUUACCACUUCAGUAAUGGACUGCACUGUGUGGUGUGUUGGACACACUGCAGAGCGGCAGAGAGGUACCACAGAAACAAUUACCAAGCUGCAGUGUCCAAUACUCUCCCCUUGACUCCAGAGACCGCCGUCAUUGAUUUACUAAUGAGAAACAUGGAGAGGAUAGGAGAUGCACGACACUGAUUGGAGAAGAAACGUGACUGUAUGCGUGGAUGUUGUACCGCAGAAGGAGAUGGUUGCCAGACGACUUCUUUCCAGCGGUGGAGCCCAUUUACUCCAGAUCCCAUGGCAGGCCGGCCAGCCUUGAAGAGAUGUACCCUCCUGGAAUCUGAGUAACGAUGUAGCCCCAGAAGAAGGAGCCAUGAAUCAUCCCCACAGUCUCUGGGUCCCAGUUGAAUUUCGCUUUCUUUCAGACACAGAAAAAUAAAAAUAAAGAC